Olea europaea var. sylvestris is the source of this 11149-nucleotide long non-coding RNA. RefSeq lists it as uncharacterized. The record is from RefSeq and is a predicted model, not a curated record. NCBI's taxonomy places the organism in Eukaryota, Viridiplantae, Streptophyta, Magnoliopsida, Lamiales, Oleaceae. The transcript has 5 exons.
ACAGAAAGCAACUGGGCGAGAAAAGCAAGUUGAAGCUGAAGCUGAAGCUGAAGCUGAAGCUGUAUUUGAAAAUAGCUGCUACUCCCUGUGCUGCGUCCUUUGAAUGAGUUUCCUGUUCCGGUUUUCCUUCUUCAUCUGCUGCUCGUCUCUCCAAUUCUAAGAAAAGAGGGUUUUUAUUCUGGUACUCGCUUUCCCCCAUUCAACCCACAAUUAACGUUUAAAUAAUUGGACUUGCUUUCUCAGUUCCAAGCGUAAAUGUUUUUGUAUGAAUCUUGCCUGAAUUUUCUUUCAGAUACUGGAUAAUGAAUAUUAGCAUAAGGAUUUGUUUAUUUCUUUUUAAGAAAUUAUUUGAUAGGAUCUUGAAGUUAGACGGAAUGCUGAACUACUGGAUUCGAUGGAGCUCUUUGGUUUAUGACUGCGCUACUGCUAUGGAAUCUUCUACUCUUGUUCUAGAGACUAGACUCCGCGGCGCAUUCAUCAAUAGGUAGGCUAAUGUAAUUGAACUUUAAACUAAGUUUCGGAUUUGGGAUUAAUAAUCCUCGAACUUUCCUCAUAGAAUUCGAUCCAUAUGAUGAGGAACGAGUAUCCAGACCAUUCCACAGAACAUUAAUUGAGAAGGUCACUUUCUAUGCCAUUUCAUAAAUUUGCCCUUUAGUUUCCAACCUCAAAUAUGAGUAGAGAAACAAGAGACCAACUAAAAUAUACUUUUGGGAGUAACACUAGAGGGACUAUCUUUGGGCAUGUUCCUAAUGGUGACAUACCAAGUUAAGCAAGACAAAUUUCAUUUCUGCAACCAAUGAUUAAAAUCUUGAGUUGGUGAGAUUUGGAAAAUAAUUGCAGACAAGUUAGACUGAAUUUGUAGAAAGCACUUUCUAGCAACAGAGGCAGGUUUCUAGCAACUAACAUGCUGGACUUGUAAGAUAUUUUUAUCAAAUAACAGAAUUCAGCAGAUUUGAUCAAAUUGAUUUCAAGUCCUAAAUAAGCCAUAGAAGCAAGAGGAAAUUUCAGAAUAUAUCAUUUAUUGGGCCUUCAAAGCUUCCACUCAACAACUGUAGGGCUUAUGGUUCAAUCCAAAAGGUACUAUUAGUUGAGUAUCCCAAGCCUUAAAUUCCCAUUAUCUACCCUGAGUCAUGGUCAUUGACUUCGGCAGACUCGUUCUAAUCUAAGAGAAUUCAAUAAAAUGAGGAAAAUAUGGUUGUAUAAUAAAGUUCCAAAUUUGAACAAUAUAGCAUAAUAGACUAGCGAUCUUCUCUUGUAUUAAUAUGGUUGUAUAAUAAAGUUCCUGCUUUAGUUUUGAAAAUUGAAAAAAAGAAAAAAAAAAUUACUCGUAGGUAAACCGCAUUGGUUCACUGGGUUAUUAGAAAGUCGGUCAGUUUAUUCAGAUGUCUACCGGUUCAGCAAUUAAUUAUUGGAAUAUACUAACUCAACUGGACCGAGGCUGUCUCAUCUGAAUAUUUACCUGUUCAACUGUUAGCGAUUGAAAUAUAUGAGAGUCUGGUUUGUUGGGUUUGUCCAAUCCAAUUCGAGUUUAAUAACUAUGUGUACAAGACUCGUUAAAAUAAAACUACACGACCCUUAUAUUUUGACCUUAUAAUAUUGAUUUGCUAGGUUAACCUUUUCUUUUUUUCAGUUUUGUGCAAUACUCGUUGAUGAAAUAAAUAGAAUAAUUUUUUCUUCUAUUUUGACUUCAUAACUUUAGGUUUCUUGGAGGGACUGAAGAACAGAAAAAAAAAAUGACUAUUUCCGAUUCUACAGGAUAUGCAUGACGAUAAUUGUUUUCCCCAUUCUAAUUUGACUAGUAAAAGAGGCAUUCUCUUUUCUCCACAGUUGCCUCUCAUGGAUCGCUUUGCGUGGAAUCUGGAAUAGAAACAUUCACCACUAAAAGGAAAAAUGGUUUUUGCUGAAAUACUGAAAAUGGUAAUACAUAUAAUUCAUUUUCCUCUUCUCCAUUCCCUAAAGAAUAAAUAAAUAGAAUCUUCUUUUUCCAAUCUUUGGAAUUGAUGUGUGCUUUAUUUUUUUCUGACCAGGUUUUUACUUGAUGACUUGCGUAUUUUUACUUUAAAUAAUUCUAUUUAUUGUUGGACCGAAUUAUGAUUAAAUUAUUUUUCAUUUUCUGGAAUAACUUGUUAUGCUUUUUCUUGCUGACAAAAUGAUGGAGGUUAAUGGGACAACAAUUCAAUUUCUGAUAUUAUUCGGUAAUUAAUGGGGUGUAGGUGUAUCUUAGGAUAAAAAGAUAUCUUAUUAAUAUAGAAAUCUUGCAUCCCUCAUUUAUUCAUUCUCUGGCAACUCUGCCUUUCUGCCUAGGAGGAACACAUUGUUUUGAUGAUAGACAAAUGCCUUAAUUAUAUAUACUUUCCCAAUACCCCGUCAUGUCGUCAACCAGAAUUUUAGCUAUUUCGUCGGGAGGUUCCAUAGUCCAGCGUUGUAUCUCUGUUUCAUUAGUUGCCAUUUCUGCUAUUUUCGCUGCCGCCCUGUUGGCAUAUGCCGCUACAGGGUGAAAUUUCACCAGUUUAAAUUGUCGUAAAAGUUUACGGCAUUUAUGGACGAUGGGUCUUAUCGAGGGCGCAAGUGGUGCCUCGUCAUCAAUAACCAGCUCCAUUGCAUAUGGCGAAUGUCCCUCAACCUCAAGGUAAUCAAUGCCUUGUACUACUGCUUCUUGUAGACCCAAAUUAAGAGCUACAAGUUUCGCUUCGAUGUGGCUGAAAUCAUUUGGCAAUGGCUCUGCACGAGCGGCUUUGAAGAUGCCAUGAUGCUCGCGAAGGACAUAACCAGCUCCUCCAUGCCUCAGCCCAUUAGGGGCACAGGCAGAGAAAUUUAGCUUCCACGCAUCUUCCACUGGUGUUGUCCAGGCAAUGGUAUGUAUCACUAGAAUAGAGCUGCGAAAGUAAUGAUAUCGGCGAGGUUUGGGUUCAUAGCCUAGACUUAUGGUUCCCAUUGUUGACAUUGUUCAAUUGUGCAAUAAGGUAAAAGUUGUUGUAUAGAGACUGUUUGGUUUAUACAUGAAGCACUAUUCACUAUUUAUAGGAAAUAAUUAGUAAUCGCAUUCUGCUCUAGAAAUUAGGGUCAAAAGGUAUAUACGGUAAUCUAUAACGGCUAGUUCGUGGUCAAUAAUUUGUAAAAGUUUCCCAACGGUAACAUAACGGGUAAAUUAUUAAUAACCUUCAGUGGUGAUUGAUGGCACUAAAAUUUAAAUUUUCCAGUAAGGCACAUUAUUAUACAACUCAUUUGGAAACAGCUGUAGUAUUAAUGAAGGCUUGUUGUAUUAGAUUUUUUUAGUUCACGAAGAAUUUGAAUUUCAAGCUUUCUCUGCUUGGGCUUGAAAGAAGGAUACGAAGAUGCUGCAAGAUUAUGCCUUGAUUACCUUCCUUUUAUUUUUCUUUUUCGUGUCCUUAUAUCUCAUACUUUAUAGAGUGCAGGCAUUAACAAUCUUUUGACUGGUUAUUUUGUAAUCCACCCUUAAAGACAUCCUUUCUGCUACUUUGCGAAAAGUUCAAUUUAGAUACAGGACUAUUACUACUGCAUUUAGAUUAUACGCGUAUUAAAGAGUAAUCUGUUAAAAUUGAUGGUUUAUAUAAUGUCUGCUUAUCCAUCUUUAUUGUUAAUCUGUAGGCAGAUAAAUCGUCUUAUGCCUAACCUCAACUUAACUAGAGGCUUAUUCCAUACUUGUCUAGCGACUACAUACAUCCUCUUCUUCUAUUCUACUUUAUCAAGUGCCCGAGGUUGACACAAGAGGGUCCAACAUGUGAGAUUCUAUCAAAUGGGCUUUACAAAGAACUACUAUGCAUUUGUCAUUACUUCGUGAAAAUGGUUAAUCGAAGUUGGUAGGGAAACCUAUUACAUGGUUUGGACAAAAAUUAAAUUGUAUUCCAUAAUAGUGUUGGAUACUUGUAAACAAGUAAUCCACUACACCAAGUCAAGUACUUUUUAAUUACUUCAUUUCACUUACUUUUAGAUCGAACUUUUACUUUACAAUCGAUACUAGUUUAACCUUGUUUUGGUUGCCUUUGUGAACUGUCUAACUAUCUCGAGUGUAGAUGUUUGUCUUUGUCUAUCUGACCUUAAUUCAACUCUUGAAUAUGCUAAUUUCUGACAAGGAUCUGGAUUAUCAAAGGGUAUUUACUUUGGUAGUGAAGAAUAAUAAGAAUGUAAACGUAGGCUUUCAAAAGGCCUACUAUCUCGACGCAACUCACUCUUAUUUUUUUUCUCAAUGCAUCCACAGACUCCCUACCCUUUAUUUAUUUGGUAUGCAGUAUAUUUUCCCAAAACUUCCCUUCUCUUUUCUUGAUGCUUCUUUCAUGCUUCCCUCCAUUUUCCUUGUUUCUUCCCUCCUCUUUCCUUGCUUGUUGAUUCUCUCCUGCUUCCAUUCUCUUUCCUUGCUGAUUCCAUCCACUUUCUUUACUUGUUGCUUCCCCUCACUUUCAUUGCUUGCUUCUUCCCUUCACUUUCCUAGCAUCACAUAUGUCCAAAGGGUUUAUCGCUAUUCCAUCACCAAAAAUCCUCAUUUCCUCAAGGUGAAGCAGUUUUGCUAAUCAGGUGGUUUUGAAGGGGUCGAUUAUCCUUGUAUAUAUGGGCUGGCAUUUUUCCCUGACUGGGCUCUGGUGUACAAAUGCCUGUGAGGAAAUUGGUUCGGUUCUCAACUUGCAGGGCCAUUUCCAUCAUAUUAUGCUUCUGCAGUCAACAAGGACCGUCACAUCCUUAAGAGCAAUAUGUCCCUGAGUGUUUGCAGAUUUGUCAUCCCCACCAUGGAAUUAAGCAAGAGUUCCUCCAUCGCCAUACCACUGAGCUCAUCCUUAUCUUCUAAUUUAUCUUCCCUCAUAAUAUUCUUGGAGAAAUCUGCUCAACCUGAAUAUUCAGACAUUAGGAUCUUAAUUAUUGUGCUGGUAUGUCCAAUCGCCUGGGUUCAAAUCAUGAUGCUUCCUUGCAACUCCCUCCCUCUCCAGUAAUGUCUCAGUGUGCAUUGGUGGAAAAUUGCAUUGCAACCUGUUUAAUUUCUGGAGAUAUCCUCUUAUAGAUGCUGAUGCCCUCUGGAUUUUGUUGCAAAUUCAUCUGUCCUUCCCUCUACGGUACCGAGUUCUUCUUCCUUAUCUUUUCUGCUAUUUACCCAGGUUAAAUGCUCUGAUACCACUUGGAUCUGAAUUUUUUCCAUUUUUUCCUGCUAGUGAAGUUGGAACUUUUCUGCAGCAGACAAGGAGCAACAGACCUACCACACGUGAUUUUUGAUCUUUUCUUUCUUUUAUAUUUUUCUCGUUGUCUAAUAGUUUCUUUUCUUUUCUCUUGAUUUAUUUUCUUUUAAUUCAAAUAAUCGAAAUUCUUGAAUAAGUACUUAGUUUUUCCAUUUGUUUUAACAAAUUGCAAUUAGAUUUUUAGGUUUCUUAAAUGUUUUAUUAUGAAUUGUUUAGAUAAUGCUUGGUUUAUUAUGUGUCCAAUUGUGCUUUUUUUUUUUUUUGGGAAAAACUGAAUCGUUUAAUUGAUUUAUGUUGGCCCAUGUGAUUACUUGUGUUACGAGGUAAAAUGCCAUUAUAUUAGUUUAACCUUUUUAAAUAGUAAUUUCAAGAUCUUUAACAUCUAGUAUCACUCAAGAAAUGUUUUCGUAUUCAAGUAAUGCAUUUCACGGUGUUUGAUGUGACUUUAAUGUUUAAGAUAAUCUCUUCAAAACUCUAACUACUCAUUCAUACUCUUGCAUAUUUGUAGACACGUAUAAUUUGUAUAUACAUUUAUAUACUCACACACGUCCACUUGUGUGUUUUACACAUACAAUACAUCUACAUGCACAUACACUCUUAAACAUAAAUGUCACCUUAUAUAUACUAGCACUAAAUGCUUAAAAGACAUCAUAUAGCAGAGCGGUUUGGCCAUGUAAUGAGCUGAUUCCUGAUUUCAUUGGUACAUGAAAUACUGUCAAGGUUCAGCGGCUUCGAAACUGAAAAUGGACCCAGAAUUAGUCCUGGAGUUAGUUUAUGUAAGGGAACUGUUUCACUCUCUUGGUUUGGGGUUUUCUUUUCUUACUGGGCAAAGAAGCCAAUUGGGCUGUCUGAUAUUACAUGUUCGAGGAUUGAAAGAAGUUAAGGAAUAAUAGAAAGGAUGUAGAAGAAAGAAAUCUUAGUUACUCACAUUUUCAUAAUAGUUUCAAGGUUUGAAGUGUCUCUCAUUAUUGGUAAUUGGUUGAUAUUUUACAAGAUAUCUGAAUUGUAUAUAGAGAUUUGUUAUACUCCUAGUUUCUUGUAAGACCUUUUCUCUCCUUUCCUGAAACCUGAAUACGUUGUGUUUUUGUCUUGUGCACGAUUUCCUGGAAGUGACUCACCAUCUUUUGUAAUCUUAUUGAUUUUUCCUUUCUCAAGUUUGUCUUGGUACAUUAAUGAAAACAAGCAAUCUAGAGCAGAGAGGUUUGAGUUUAUAAUACUAUUGGUGACCACUGGAAUUAGCUUGCCUGAAGCUCUUGAAGUUACUUAUAGACUGCAGCUUCAUGGAGGGUCGAAGGCCGAUGAUUUGAAUGAACUCGAUUUUACGCAAUUUCAGGCGAGGAUGUGGAACAUUCCUGGUCAUUGGAGGCCCUGCAUGAUGUUGAGGUCAAUGAUGUGGACGUGAUUAGUGCCAUUGAAGGACUACCGAAUGGCAUGGUUGGCUGUGAAAUGCAAUAAUCCGUACUCUCUUAAAAAGGCAAAAGAGAACUCCCUGCAAAUUCAAUCGACGACUAUGGUCGAGGAACAGAAUAUCGUAGGUGUGAUAGAGGUGAAGGUAAUAGUCGGGGAGAGAGGCGGUGGAUGAUGCCAGCCAAUCGUGGCGAUAUUGCUGGAGAACAGGACUUGAUGAUGGUGCUAACGACCUCUAUAGCGUUGCUCAUUGGGUGUGUCGUGAUUCUCAUGAGGCGCUGUGUUGUGGGAUCGGCCAAGAAGGUGGUGGUGCCGCCAUCGAAAUCGAUGGUGUGCAAGGCUGUGGUGGAGCUGGAGUAAGUGGAUGAUGAAAAGAAGAAAAUCAACAUUUUUAUGGGACCCAAACUGGCACUUGCUGAGGAAGCUAAAGCUAGAUAUGAGAAAGCCAAGUUUAAAGUGAGAGAUAUGAUAUGGUGAUGGUGAGCCUAUCAACAAAGCGGCAAUGUUCUAAAAAUGGUUUAUGGAGGAAAAAGAUAGAAGGGAUUAGCUUAAGAAUCUUUAGUGCGGAGUAUUUGGCCUCAGAAACAGGCAAUAUGAGCAUUUGCCUAUUUCAACCCCAUUAUUGAAAAAUUAAUAAUUUUUCAAACUCAUUUUUAACCAUACACUCUCAACAAAAUAAUUUGCACAUAAACCCAAUUGUUUUUCUACUUUUUAACCACAUGUUCCCAAAAAAUCACUGUCACACUGUGUAUUCUUUGGUAAAAAAGGGGGCUCAAACAAAGGCUAAUUAUUUAAGAAUUACAAAAUUGUAAAAUGCAACCUUUAAAUGUAACUGUUGUCUAAUAUAUUGUAUUUAAUCAUUUACUUUCUUCGAUAUCAUCAAAAAAUUUCAAAACCAUACAUGCAUGUUUAUUGAAGUUAAAGGGAUACUUCGGAGACAGAAUAAGGUUUCCUAAUACUUUGCAUGUUUGAUGACCAUAUACUCAUUUAUUCAAAGAAUAAGAUCUCCUUUUUCUUUAUUAAUAAAGCUUUUCUCAUCUUUAUUUCAUUUUAGAUGUCAUUUAUCCCAAGUGUGCAGCCUUUCCUUGCAAUAGCAUAUCGGGUUUGGGUUCUUGAUAAAUUAUUUGUGUGCGCUUAGAAGUUGCUGAUGGAAUGUAUUUUUUAUUGGGGUUUUGCAAAGGCUAUAUCAUCUUUAGAUCAGGUUGUGAAUAUCUUUUGGAAAUCAGCAGACUCAACAUGCCUGCAUUGUAUUGCAAGGUACAUUCCCACUUUGUAUGUAGAUUUUAAUUAGAUGAACAAAAACUACUGGAAUUCAUUCAGAUUCUGUCAAUAAAUAAAUGAUUAUACAAACUCAUUUAAUUUUCAUUCUCAACAUUUUUUUAUUUUUUUUAGCUAAAGUUGUCCAUCGGAAGGUUCUGAAGUUUUGGUUUAUGGUAAAAUAAUUUAACUAAUUGUUUAAGAUAGCACUUAAUCCUUUGAAGUCAAGACUACAUUAAUGGCAUUGAUAAUUUUAUCACUUCUGCUGCUAAUUGUUUUACUUGCUGCAUUGUGAGUGAUUUACCUAAUGAGCAAUUCUCACAAGAGAUUUGAUUGCCUAAGAUCAGUUGUAGGGAAGAUGAUUUCUUUGAUUUGAUCAGGUGAUAGUACUUCUCUAUAGCUCUCCACCAUGUAGAAAUAGAAGGUUGAGCCUUAGAUUUUGAAGACAAUAAUGAGACAAUAAACUUAGAUAUUAUGGCUUUCUAGAAUGGCUUGAAAUUUCCAUACCAGAUGAGAUUAAUGGUGAUCUUGCCAUAAGUAUUUCAAAAGCAUAGGAUCUUGAUUUCCCAAUAUUGUUGCUGUAGAAGCAAAACUGAUCAACAAAAAUACAGAUAUCAAGAUCAUAUUGAUGGAUAAACUGGUUGCCAUUUUCAAUUGGGAUUUCAUAUGAACAAAAAAGUAUAAGAAAAUGAGUAUUCCUUUGUUUUCGUGAGAAUUUCAUGGUGGAAAUGCUGAUUUCAGGCGGUUCUUUAUAUAGGGAUCGGAUAAGAAUAGAGGAUGGUGAACAAUGCAAGAUGCAUUAUUAAGAAAGACACAUUUCUAGAAGUUAAAAUUAUGUUAAACAUUGAAAGAAAAACAUAAUAUAUGUUGAACAUAAAGUGUGUUAAGUCAUUAAUUUAUCCCACUUGCCAAUUUUGUUAUGCAAUUUUUGAGAAUCAUCAGCUAGUGAACUUUUUGUCGAAAGUUUAUGAAUCUUCAAACCAGCACCUGACUGUGCAUAGGGUCCCAUUUUAUUUUUUAGUUGGUGAAAUCAACAACUGCAGUGCGCGCAAUCUCUACUGAGUAAGAUUUUUGAAACAAAUUCGUUUAGCCAGGAUAAUUGCUUCUUUGGUUGUUCUGGUGAUUUUUAUUGUUUCAUCUGUUUCAGAGUUUGUUAAAGUGGUCAUCUCUCAAUGCUUCUUAAUGUUCCUACAUUUAAAAACUUAGUGCUCAUCAUUUAGAAGAUGAAUUCUAUGUAUUUUUGAAUCAUUAAUUGAUGAAAGGAUUUUCAAUUCAUGGGUUUUAAUGGUUAUCUUUUGUUACAUUUUUACAUGAUGAAAGAUAGUAUAGAAAUUUUCGUCAAGUGAAAUUUAAGUAUAUCAAUAGAGACAUAACAUAAUGACUACUAUUUGUUUUGUUCACAGCAUGUUUACGAUUUUGAUUCUUCUCUAUGGUUUGAUGAUCAGAAUACCAUAGAUAUUAGAACUUGCAUAUUUAUAAAAAAAAUUAAAAAAUAAAUAAAUCAAAUAGGACUUGAAAAUCCUGAUUUAGUUAAGCAUCAUGAGCACAUGAAUAAAUUAGAUAUUUAAUCUGAUUUUGUGUGUAGGUUAAGGAAAUAAAGGACACAUUCUACAUUACCUUUGCAUAUGACACUUGUGAUGAACUAAAGAUUUUGAUGAAUAAGGUUCUUAGAAACCUCCUCAGGGUUAGGUACUGAGAUGAGGUGUUUGUUCUGUUCAUCAAUGUGCAGAUGCCAAGUAUGGGGAGCGUGUACACAUUCUUCUCGUGCAUGAUACCAUUGAAGGGGUUACUGAAACUUGUUUAAUGCUUACUUGAAUGUAAGUUUCUAAAACCUCUAAACUUGUGUUACUUUUUAGAGUCGUUUAGUCUAAUUAAAUAUUUGUGUUUUUUCCUUUGUGAUACUAUAGAUCCUUGUCAUUUUGUGAUGAAUCUAAAAUUGAAAUGUUGGUUCUUGUUUAUUGUUCAAUUUUGCGUGCAUCUCUGAGUCUUUAAUGAAUUUAGUCUAUGUAGAGCGGAAUCGUAAUGGAAUUUUUUUUUUCCCAUUCAAUUAUGAGAGUUUCUAGAAACGAUUAUUAGAGUUUGAAUGCAUGUUAUUUUACAUGCAUAAAUUGUUAUAUAAUUUUCAAUUUCUUGUAAAGGUCCACCCACCCUGAUUUCUCUUGUUUGUUAGCACUACUGAUAGUUCCAUCUUAAGUUGUCUUGUUUGGACGAAUACUUGUAAUAUUUAUUAUCUCGCUAUGAUUGUGUCAUGUUGUUUAUCUGGUUCUACACUGGGCUACAAGACCAAGAGGAGGAAUCAAUGAAUGGUUACACUGGCUUCCUGUUUUCGUCCUUAAAAAGUUUUGUUACAUUAUUAGCUGAUUUAUAUUUAUUCCCGAAUUUUGAUGGCUAUAAGUGAAAAGAAAUUGGUGCCUUUGCCUAUGGAGAAUGAUCAUUCUGUAGGACUGUCAUCCAUAUUGGAAGCUGAUGUGAAAAAUAUUGUAAGCUAGGCUAAAGAAACUUCUGUGAAGUCAGUCUGUUCUUAAUUCUAUCACACACAAAAAUUAAGGGAAAGUCCAUCUUAGUAUAGCAAUAGCAAAUAUGGAGUUGAAGAUAUAAUUCACGAGAAUCAAUCACAUUUAAUGCACUAACAUUACCUUCAAAAUAACUCAAUCCGUACAUUGCACGGCAAAGACUAGUUCGAUUAAAAGGGUGAUGGACUUGGAGGGCAUUGAGGAGCUUGUCGCAUUGUAGGAGAAGGCCAAGGAUGUGGAAUCAUCUUUGGUUGAUGUGUUCUGGAGGUGUUCUUCCUCUUGUUCUCGGAAAUUGAUAAAGUCAUUGGCCGGAAAAAAGUGAGAUUGGCGUGCUUGAAUGUUAAGGCGGCCAAAGCCAUAUCAACGUAGCAUUUAAUGGAUAUAAUCGACAAGGACGAGAAAGAAGCAUCGCUAAAGGUGGUGGUUCAAACACAACUUAAUUGAAGGACAAUAAUGGGAUUAUUACAAAGUUGUUAGGUGUCAGCACUGUUUAUGUUGCCCAAUCGAAUGGUGGUUGGAUUUAUACGAUGACCAUUAUUUUGGCACAUUAGAAAGAUAAAAAAAAUUAUCGUUGUCAUUUAGCUUUAUUUUAAUGUGAAUAUUGCUGAUAUUUUUAUGGUUGAUGACAAGGAAAUAAUAUCAUAAAGUGAUUCAUCAAAUUUUCAGGUAUUUUUCAUAUUUUUUUAUUUGGUGAAGAGAUAAAAAGCAUGUGGCUUAUAGCCAUGGCUUCAUUUUAUUAUUGUCAACUUCUUUGACCUACUUCUAUAUACAAUACUGGAAUCUUAAUUA